Molecule: unclassified non-coding RNA, 814 nt
Filed under: Amphimedon queenslandica
Lineage: Eukaryota; Metazoa; Porifera; Demospongiae; Haplosclerida; Niphatidae
Description: uncharacterized LOC109587400, transcript variant X3
Source: RNAcentral
AUACAAUGUCUCACUGGCUCCGUCACAUUGCAGAGGGAGAGCCUUGUGAUACUUACCUUAAACUAUCAUCAGGUGAUCUGGCUAGAACCUCUGAGAUGAUAGAGACACAGCGGAGUACCUUUGACAGGGAUGAUGCUCUCUGUGUCCAGAACCUUCAAUCUAUUGCUGACUACACAUGUAUAUUCACUCAGCAGUGGAUUUAUUGACAAGAGUAGAGGAAGCUGUUGAGAGGUUCUUGUAUUGGGUCAAAGAAGUAAUGAUAUAUGAAGCAGUUACUUCAAGUCCCAGUAGUCAUGAUGUCCCAGUCACUGGUGGAGUAGCAUAUGAAGUGUUUGAUGACAAUGGAGUGAGUAGUAUCAAUGGUAGCAGUACCAGAGGAGGAGGGAAUACUAGCAGCUGUCAAGAGAUGAGUCAACACCAGAUACUACUAAGGCUCAUGGUGGUAAUUGCUUGUCACCCUCAAGGAGGAACAUUGGUCUUGAUGAUUCUGUUAGUGAGAAGUGGGCUCAAGCUAGCAGCCACUGCUCAGAUGCCAAAGAAUAUCUUGAGAUGAUUUGUAGAGAUUUAUCCGAUGAACUGGCACAAUUUGAUCUAAGGAAGGAACAAAAAUUGAGACAAGUUUUCGUUGAUCUUGCUGCUGGACAAAUAGAGUAAAAUGAUAAAGUGAAUUUUUUAUAUUAAGAACUGUACGCGAUCCUCCAUAGUGAAUUUUCAUGUAAAUACAGUUUGUCUCUAUUUAGCACAACAACAACAACAGGAGGAGGAGGAGGAGGAGGAGGUGACAACAAGUGAAGAUUGUUCCUCCUUCAAGAAA